UCCGGUUUGUCACCGGCAGUCAUUCUAGAGUCCCCACCAUUACGUGCUGGCAACUAAAGACGGGGGUUGCGCUCGUUGCGGAACUUAAUCCAACACCUCACGACACGAGCUGACGACAGCCAUGCACCACCUGUGAAGGUGUCCCGAAGGAAAACCGUGUUUCCACGGCGGUCACCUACAUGUCAAGCCCAGGUAAGGUUCUUCGCGUUGCGUCGAAUUAAACCACAUGCUCCGCUGCUUGUGCGGGCCCCCGUCAAUUCCUUUGAGUUUCAACCUUGCGGCCGUACUCCCCAGGCGGAGUGCUUAAUGCGUUGGCUGCGGCGGUGAAAGUGUUGAAACUACCACCACCUAGCACUCAUCGUUUACGGCUAGGACUAC
This 378-nucleotide unclassified non-coding RNA is filed under the name uncultured bacterium. Its description in RNAcentral is "contains 16S-23S intergenic spacer region". The record is from RNAcentral.